This 438-nucleotide long non-coding RNA is filed under the name Homo sapiens (human). RNAcentral's name for it is "non-protein coding LINC02301:21". Lineage: Eukaryota; Metazoa; Chordata; Mammalia; Primates; Hominidae. The record is from RNAcentral.
GUUCCUGUGUGAUGGGGCCGGAGCCAGUAAACAGGCUUCCUUCUCGCUCUGCUGUAUAAGAAGAAGAAGUAGGAGAAACAAAAUAAGGAGGAGAAGAAGUAAAAUAAUUUGAGAAGGAAUAUGAAGGGGCUGAAAUCCUGGGCUUUCUGGGCAGAAGGAUCUACGAGCGGGAUCGUGGGUGAAACAUGAAGAUGAUGGUGGACAGGUGAGCUACGCAGUUCGUGGAAGAACCAGGGGUCACAUGGCCUAGAUGCUACCCUAGAUGAGAAAGAGUCCAAUGGUUAUCAACAAGUUCUGAAAGGCAAGGCCUAAGACAGUUUCUUUCAUUCUUUUCUCUCAAUUAUGGAACCCCUGACUUGCAACUGACCUGGGCCCAGUGAAAGCUAAUAGUUCCAAUCCUGGCUCUUUGCCCAGUUGCAUCAAAGAAGACCACACAGU